CAAAGAGCUGAAUCAGCUCGCAUCCCUUCCUCCAUGCUGGAGCAAAGUCAAACACAGGCACCUCCCACCCCAGGGAACUUUGGCCCCAGCCCUGAGGCCAGUUCAGACUGAAGACGACAAGGGAAGGUGUGCAGCCCAGGGUGAAGGCAGCUGUGUCAUGAGGUUGGGAGAGGCGGAAGAGCCUAGCCUGCUCCUGCCCUAUGGGUGAACUGACACCAAUCAUUGAGAACGGAUGUGAGUGGCCGAAGUCACUGGUCAGUAGACUCUCCGAAGCUCUGCCUGUUGACAUCCCCUCAGUAAGAAUGGACGGUCCUACUUGCACCUGGAGGAUCUCUGUCACUGACAAUGAGAUGCUGCCUCAACUUCCAAUGCAGGUGCAGAGUUUCAGAUAAGAGGUUUUAGGGACACAACAUUACAUUUGUCGUUAAAGAAUCGGGCCUUGGGUCCAAUUCCCAGUCCAGAUUUGAGACUGAACUCUGUGCCUUCAUCAUACUCCCAUUCCUAGAGGUGCUGGAUGUCUUAUCCUGGUGCCCCCACCAACUAGGAGGCUGACUCUUCCCUCCUAAUCCAUCCUCCCACCCCAGUCCCAACCGUCCCAAUUACUGUCUCCUCCGUGUUACCUUCCUCAUACCUCCCAUCCAGGUGCCCUUCCCACUGAUUACCUCUCCCCCGCACCCCCUUUCGUGCUGUUUUCUAAGGAGCCCCCUUUUCCUCGGCGCCCCGCAGCGGAACCCGAGCGCGGGAGGAGCGGCGCGACGCCGGACCGCCCGCGGGCGAGUGGUCCUCCCGGAAGUGCGCCUCGCCUCAGGGUCCCCCAGCACCCCCAGCACUGGGCCGAGAACCCACCU
This is a long non-coding RNA of Vicugna pacos (alpaca), 848 nucleotides long. RefSeq lists it as uncharacterized. The record is from RefSeq and is a predicted model, not a curated record. Lineage: Eukaryota; Metazoa; Chordata; Mammalia; Artiodactyla; Camelidae.